This is a non-coding RNA of Paramuricea clavata, 233 nucleotides long. NCBI's taxonomy places the organism in Eukaryota, Metazoa, Cnidaria, Anthozoa, Malacalcyonacea, Plexauridae. The record is from the annotation of a GenBank genome assembly.
CAUGUAUUAUUCUCUAUAACUUUGGCGGAGUUUUAAUGGAAAUAUUAAUGUUAGGUUUUUUAUCAAACUGCGGAAAUUUGAAAAAAAAAACACCCAAAUGUUUAGGCCCAGUAACCCGGGGAUUUUAACAAUUGAACAAGAUUUUUUAGCCGGGAUUUUAACAACCGUGAAAUGUUAAAAUCCCCGCUUAGUCCCGGGGGUCGGGGGGCCGGGCUUUCGAUUGACUAGUGCAU